This is a long non-coding RNA of Haliotis rubra (blacklip abalone), 539 nucleotides long. RefSeq lists it as uncharacterized. The transcript has 3 exons. NCBI's taxonomy places the organism in Eukaryota, Metazoa, Mollusca, Gastropoda, Lepetellida, Haliotidae. The record is from RefSeq and is a predicted model, not a curated record.
UUGUUUGCCACUCUCUGGCAGUGGGUGUUUUAUGGCUUUGAAAUUCUUUCGUGUCAUGGCUGAUAACAAAAACAUGACCUGUGGAUAUAUUUGUUGACUUUGGAAUGCCUGGCUUCUGCAGUUACAGCAGGGAGUGAAAACAUUGCCCUGUCGAAGCCAGUAUCAUCAAGUCACAACGGUUAUGGCGGUGUACCUGAACGAGGCAAUGACGGCAACGACAAUCCAGUAUACAGUGGCAACUCAUGCGUGUUAGGGGAGAAAACUCCAGCAGAUCCCCUUCCAUGGUGGCAAAUUAACCUCCAAACACAAUAUUGUGUAGAGAUUGUCGCAGUUACUAAUCGAGCGGAUGCUUUUCAAUGGAGACUUCAUAAUUUCACAAUCAGUGUUUACACUGAGAACCCAAGUACCACCCCAACAGCCGUGGCCAGGGUGUGCGCUGUGUACCCCGGGACAGUCGGGGCUGGGGUCCGGGAGGUGCUGCCCUGUGGGUCGCGAGUCAGAGGACAGUACCUCAGGAUACAAAAGAAUGAGAUGCUCCA